Molecule: long non-coding RNA, 281 nt
Filed under: Brassica rapa (field mustard)
Lineage: Eukaryota; Viridiplantae; Streptophyta; Magnoliopsida; Brassicales; Brassicaceae
Description: long non-coding RNA (BRAP_LNC000897)
Source: RNAcentral
UUUGGUUUGUGUUGCGGUUGGGUUCGGAAGGUUCAUGGUGGCUGCAAGUGUGCUGACGCUUGUCCCGGAAUCACAGCAGCUUUGAUGAUGUUGGCAAAUGACUUCUUUGGAUCUCACUCCCGACGUCUUAUGGAUUUGCCGCUGAAGUAGUGUCGCCAAAGCGGGAAUGCAGAUGGGUUUAACCGCCGUUGCUGGCGGUGGAAGCUGCUUUAGGUCAAGGCGACAUAUUUUACUUGCGGAAGACAAUGCUCUUGUCUUAGAUCUAGUGUUUUCGUUUCAAU